RNAcentral lists this transfer RNA (74 nucleotides) under Planctomycetota bacterium. RNAcentral describes it as "Planctomycetes bacterium tRNA-Arg". It matches the Rfam family "tRNA". Rfam says of the family: Transfer RNA (tRNA) molecules are approximately 80 nucleotides in length. Their secondary structure includes four short double-helical elements and three loops (D, anti-codon, and T loops). Lineage: Bacteria; Pseudomonadati; Planctomycetota. RNAcentral also lists the same sequence under 1 other name. The record is from RNAcentral.
GCGCCCGUAGCUCAGUUGGACAGAGCGCGUGUUUCCUAAACACGAGGCCGCUGGUUCGAGCCCAGCCGGGCGUA